Molecule: long non-coding RNA, 2355 nt
Filed under: Gallus gallus (chicken)
Lineage: Eukaryota; Metazoa; Chordata; Aves; Galliformes; Phasianidae
Source: RNAcentral
CACUGUGUCUGAGAUAUUCAGGAAAAUUACCGAGAAUGGAAACCAACUAUAAAACUUAAUGUAAUUGAGUUAGUAGAAAAAUGAAUUAAAUUACAUUCAUAUCAAAAGUUAAACUAAAACCAUUGCUAUGCAUCGUUAUUUAAAAAGGGAAAAAUCCCAAACCCUAUCCUUUUAUAUAUUAACACACACUUCCUAAGGGGAGCUACUGCGUGCCUCAUUUCCAGCAAUGGGGCGUGGCCUAGGAAAUCCAGAUUCCCACUCUCCUUAAAAACAUAUAUUAAAUAACUAUGAUCUGUACCAAUACAAAUAUUGUAUAUAUUCAUGCACUGUGAUUAUGUUCAUAGUAGCUUACACCAAGGCACAAUUUUUGUGUCAUUCCCCACCCCUUUUCCCUUACAUCCAGGCAUGCAGUGCUAGAGAUGCUUGCUGUUCAAAAAACUUCUGUGGGAUUUGUCUCUCAUGUGAUUUUCACAGUAGAGGACACAGAAGUUUUUCCAGCUUAGAUUUAAAAAUAAAUAAGUAAAAGAAGGUAAAGGCUUUAGUUUGACAUCUGGCACCAAAUCACACCAACUCAUUUUAAAUGCCUUAACCCUCUCUCCAGUCUCCAGAGAGCAUGUCAUGAAGGUGAUCUAAUUACAGUUGGUAGGUCACACUGUAAUAUAUUAGCUAGGAUGACAAAAUUGUUCCUUCUGUAAAUCUUAAUUCCUGUGACAGCUGUAGUGUUUUGAUUUGUCAUGAAGGAUCAUCAAGUCUAAAUCAGUUCCUAACUCGCAUCUCAGCAUAGCACCAUUUACGUUAUCUGCUAUGUAGUGCAUGUAAUUGAAGUACCUAGGUAUGCUCAUUAAAAUAAAUGCAUAAUUUAGCUGUAUAUAAACAGCUGCCAAAAUGAACAGCUGUUAACCUGGCUGUAUUUUGAAGGCUUGUAAAACUUGCAUAUUUUAUAACUGUCCUGCAUCUGUAAGAGGCUUGGUCCCACAAAUAGCUGGGCAUGUGCUCAUCUUCAAGGAUUUGAAGAAUCUCAUGAGAUUAUAAUGAAUGAAGCUACCUGUGGGCCUUCAGGAGCACUGCAGGUUGUGCCUCGGACAGGUAGCUGGCCAGCCAUUAGUCAUGUGAGUGGUGUCAAGGAAGACAGGGCUGGAUUGACUAAUGCUGACUGGGCUUAGGCACUAGAUGUAUUCCCUCAGAUGUUGAGCAUAUCUGAAAUUAGACCAAGUGUUUGUCAGGCUUGGAAAAAGUGGAAGUAUAUUACAGAUUGGCCUCUUAAAACAUGCCCUGAAGGAUGACAAAUGAAACCUGCGUGAUGUCUGCUUAUGUACAUAUUUAAUAGAAAAGAAAUCCUAAUCUAGAGUAUCAAAAUACUGUAUUCAUAUAAAUGUAGGAGAGCAUCUAAUAGAAAAGUAAAAAGAGUAAAACGCAAAUUUAUUUUGGGACUUACAUAUCCCAAAAGAGUUUUUCUUAAAAUCGGGAAUGUGUGUGCUACCAAAAAGUGAGGACUACAUCUCCCCUCGCCUCCGUGUUUUUGCUGCAGCAGCUCCACGUUCCUCCUCCUCCUCUUCUUCCUCCUCAUAAUUUUCUUCACGAACUUCCUUCUGAGGGUUGUUCUCGUCUUGCAUUUCUUGCUCUUGAUCUGUUUCCCCAUUAUUCUUUUCAUCUCCAUUUUCAUCAUUUUCACCAUAUGGCUCUUCAGCAUUGCGUUCCAGUUCUCGUUUCUUCUCCUCAGUCAAAUCUUCCUGAAUCUCUUCCUCGCCCUCUUCCUGAUACUGCUCAUCCACAUUAUCUUCCUGCUGGUCGGGAUUUCCUGCCAUCACUAGGUGCUCUUCCACUCCGGGAUGCCCUUGUUUCUCACUGUUCUGCUUGUGCUUCUCAUUUUCGUCUGGUAGAUUUUCUUCUCUCUCUUGUUCAGCCUCCUCAAAUUCAUCUUCUCCCUGAUUGUUAGGGUCAUCAGCAGGGUUCACAUCUUCCAUGGCUGCCCUUGGUUCAUCAGCCUGCUGAUUUUCUCCUUGAUGUUCUGGUUCGUGCUGUUCAUUUGCAUUGUUUUGAUCCUCAUCCUCACCUUCAUCCCGGUGCUGGUUGUCAUGUUCAUAAGCUCCUUCUUCUUCCUGAAUACCUUGCUCUUCUUCCCCUUGUACAAUAUCAUGGUCCAUGUUAUCAUAGCGAGCCUGCUGACUCAGUUGGUUCUUAUAGAAUUUUUCUCCUUGCUCUGCCUCUCUCUGUAGCUGAAGCUCUUUUUCUUGAAGCUGUUGCUGCCGUAAUAGCUGCGUUUGCAGUCUUUGCUGGUGCAGCGAUUCCUGAUGUUCCCUGAGCUGAUUGGCUUCCUCUGCUCUUUGGGCUGCAAGCUGUUGCUGCUCCAGUUGC